UUAAUGUUUGAUGUUCUAACGUGGGCCCCUAAUCGGGGUUGCGGACAGUGUCUGGUGGGUAGUUUGACUGGGGCGGUCUCCUCCUAAAGAGUAACGGAGGAGCACGAAGGUUGGCUAAUCCUGGUCGGACAUCAGGAGGUUAGUGCAAUGGCAUAAGCCAGCUUGACUGCGAGCGUGACGGCGCGAGCAGGUGCGAAAGCAGGUCAUAGUGAUCCGGUGGUUCUGAAUGGAAGGGCCAUCGCUCAACGGAUAAAAGGUACUCCGGGGAUAACAGGCUGAUACCGCCCAAGAGUUCAUAUCGACGGCGGUGUUUGGCACCUCGAUGUCGGCUCAUCACAUCCUGGGGCUGAAGUAGGUCCCAAGGGUAUGGCUGUUCGCCAUUUAAAGUGGUACGCGAGCUGGGUUUAGAACGUCGUGAGACAGUUC
Molecule: ribosomal RNA, 426 nt
Filed under: Escherichia coli
Lineage: Bacteria; Pseudomonadati; Pseudomonadota; Gammaproteobacteria; Enterobacterales; Enterobacteriaceae
Description: partial 23S ribosomal RNA
Rfam family: Bacterial large subunit ribosomal RNA
Source: RNAcentral